Molecule: long non-coding RNA, 317 nt
Filed under: Homo sapiens (human)
Lineage: Eukaryota; Metazoa; Chordata; Mammalia; Primates; Hominidae
Description: HSALNT0129496
Source: RNAcentral
UGCAAGGCAAGGAAAGGGGCCGUCAUUCACAGGAAUAGUCACUGCCACUGAGCGUCCGGAUGCAACCCUGGCAUCUGAGGCAGCAGACUCAGACUGUAACGCGGGUACUAGGAUACAGCCCAGGGACCGAAACCGAACUGGCAGGCGAGCAUGGUGAAUACAUGGUGGUUCAAUUCACGUGGGCUGAACUGCACUGGACUUCUCUGCUGGCUGUCAGGUCUCGCUCAUCUUCUGGAGAGAAUAUUCUGCAACCCCCAGGCUCUUUAACAACACCACUGGUUCCUUAUAAUAGCAGACCCCCGGUGGGCGCAGGUCGG